This is a long non-coding RNA of Puntigrus tetrazona (Sumatra barb), 3629 nucleotides long. RefSeq lists it as uncharacterized. Lineage: Eukaryota; Metazoa; Chordata; Actinopteri; Cypriniformes; Cyprinidae. The record is from RefSeq and is a predicted model, not a curated record. The transcript is spliced from 2 exons.
AUAUAUAAAAAUCUGAAAAAAUCUCACUUCCCUCUUACUGUUUUUAGUUAGUAUUUUUUAUGAUAUAAGUGCAUUUCUAUCUUCAUCGCAGCACCAGAGACGCAGAAAAGCAACACUGUUAGGUUUAAUUAUAUGUGUUUUUUUUUUUUUUUUGCAGUUUUUUCCAACCUCCCACAAUGCUCAGCGCAUAAAUCUGACACCAAACAACAGGAUGAACACCCCACCCAGUCACAACUCUGAAGGCCCGCGCUUGUUUUCUUUGGCGGCUGAUUAAAACGGCAGACUGACGAGCUCGGCGAUGACGACAGCUAAUGGUCAAAUAACCAACAAUCAAUCACAUUGAGGUUAAGGUUUGCAUGUGUAAUGCAAAUCUACGUUUGCAAUGCAAAUGCAAGUUCAGAUUUAAUAUGUCAAAAGUAAAAACUAGGUCUGGAGUUUAAUCCAGGGGGGUCUGUUAAAAAUACCCUGUUAAAUAGACAGCCUUGCGUUUCAUCAUCUCCUGCCCUGUGGUGUCUGCUAAUGAAGAGAGCUCCCGCUAACAAUGACUAGCACAGUUGGCCUAAUCAACGCUUGUCUUACGCAUCCGUUGCUCUUCCUCUAUUCCCUGGCGGUCUGGUUUUCUCGUUAUUGUAAUCUUGAAUUAGGCCCGGCUAAUUGAGCUUUUAAUUAGAGAUGCUGGUACGAAAGUGUGAGUGUUGUGACCUUAUGUAUGAAUUACUGUGUAGUCUUUCUUAUUUAAAUCUGAUUCUAAAUGCUCUGAAUAGAUGAAUCCUAUUAAAACAUUAGCAGGUGUGUGUGUGUGUGUGUGUGUGUGUGUGUGUGUGUGUGUGUGUUAUUGUUUCUAAGUAGAAGUCUCUUAUGCUGACCAAGGAUGCAUUUAUUUAAACACGCGCAGCAAAAACAGUAAUAUUGUGAAAUAUAUUAUUACUAUCUAAAAUAACUCUUUGCUGUUUUAAUUUAUUUUAAGGUGUAAUGCAUUCCUUUGAUGCAAAACUGAAUUGUCAGCAUCAUUAUUUCAGUCUCAGUGUGGCAUAAAUCUUUAGAAAUCGUUCUGAUAAGCUGAUUUACUGAUCAAGAAACAUUUCCUAUUAUUAGUAUUAAAAACAGUUAUAUUUAUUUGAAAACGUGUUUUAUAGCAUUAUCAUUUAUUUAUAUUAUUAAAUAAUAUUUAUAUAUAAUAUCUUUGCUUAAAAAAUAUAUAAUUUGUUAACAACGAUUUACUGACCCUGCAUUUUAUAAAAAAUAAUAUUUUGAUUUCAUAGAAGUUCAUUUAUUAUUAUUAUUAUUAUUAUUAUUCAUUAACCUUCAGAUACAACCACGGUAAUACCUUUUUUUAUUUUUAUUUUUUUUUUACAUUUUAGUAAUCUGAAUUAAAGGUGAAAUGUGCUGGAAUUAUCCCACAACGCAAAAAAAAAAAUAUUUUUAAAGAACAAAAUAGAAUCAUUUAGAUAUUUCAUGGGAUGUAUCAGGAAUACACAGGUGCUUAACGGCAGUAAUAAAGGCCUCAUUGUGCUGGUGUGUGAACAAGUCAACUGGACGCGUGACUGUAGUGUGUUUGCUGUGGGAGGGUCUUGAGUGGAUAGAGGUCACUGUGGGUCACCUCCGCCCCACUGUCUUUGUUCCUGAGACACAACGAUCAACAUACUUUAAAUAAUUCAGAUUGUGUCGCCCGCAGAGUAUUGCGCCGUUGUCAGGAGCUCAAUUAAUGACUUUAAUUGUUAUUGACUAAUAGUGUUCGAGAAAGCUGCUCCAGCCUUUUCAAACGGUAACACACCGAAUUCGAGCUAAGCAGACAAUACUUUUAGAUAAUCAAGAGUUUGUUCUUACGGUUUGGAGUCAGCGGUCUCCUAUCUCCGAUCUGAGCUCGACUGUGUGCUAUUUACGGUUUUAAAAUCACUGCCGUGCGCAAAGUGACCCUGAGCUAUAUCUGCUUAUUCUGUAAGUGUUCCGCAUGAGCGAUGCUUCUGCGUAAAUAAUGCAUCGUCUUCAUCGGGAGGCUCCUCCGUGUCUUUUCCCGAAAAGCAGCGACUCGCUGUUGCCCGGGAAGUGGCUUUGAAAGACACUGCAGCAGUUCUCUUGGCAGACAGGUAUUAUGUUUGCUUCUCUGGUUUCAUCAUUGUAUUUAUAGCGUGGCAUUGCUGAGUCACUGGCAAAGGCUUAAAGUUGAAAACACGCACAAGGCCGUAGUGUGAGCUGCUGAAAGGAUCCAGACCAUCCUGAGCGACGACGAGGAAGUGAAAUCACGCUCUUUUGACUCGCUAUGUUUUGGUGAUCUGGCUGUGUUUGGAAAGGGCACUCGCUCUCUAGAGACUUUCUGUCCCUUCAUCUGUAUUCUGCUGCAAACUCCAUCUGGCUAGAGCUCUUAGGCCUCCUUUAAAGGGACAGCUCACCCAAAAACGAUCGUUCUAGCCUUUUUGUCACUCCAUGCCUACGUGACGUGCUUUCUUCUACCGAACACAAAAUAAGAAACCGUUCGUGAUAUGAUAACCAUACGAUAGUCACAUCAUGUUCUGCAGAAGAAGAAAAAAAGGUUUGUAGGUGAAUAAGUGACGACGGAUUUAAUUUUUAGUGUCAACUAACAGCUAAAACCUAAUUAAGUAAACCUCUGUUGAGUCUGAAUUUCUGAAACUAGCGUAUUUUUAAUACGUGGAUGAAUAUGUCAUCAAUAACGUUCCUGUCGGGUUUCACCCCAGAUCAAAACGGGGAAUGAGGUUUUGCAUUAAGAAAAUGAAGCGAUGUGCAUUUCCUGAGUUUUGCGGAUUUUCCCCUUUCCUCAUUUUCAGAACGCACAAAUCCCAUUAUCAUUACUGGAACGAGGAAGCACAUAACCUGAAGUGUAUUGUAUGUAGGAUUUGUUGUGCUGUAAUGCAUUAAUGAGAAUCUCCAUUAAGAACAAAUGGAAAUUGUAAAAACAUUAAAAAUUUACAUAAAUGAAAAUUCAUGAUGCAUUAUGGUAAGGGCUGAGCAAUGAAUGACAGUUUAAUGUUUUCAGCUCCCAAUAAUUGUAUUGUUGAUGGGGGGGAAAAAUACAACAGGAGUGUAAUACAGCCAGACACGUGCCGGUAUUCUUUAAUGUGAUUCAUCGCUAUAAAGAAUAGGCACGGUAUCGUUAUCACGGGCACCUUUAAAAUACGGAAAAGAAGUAUUUACGCGUGCACUCUGAUGUAAACGAGCACGAAUGAGGACAGCCAUUAUCACAAACACUGCGCUACUUUCACAUUUAAAUAUCCGCAGUGGUGUUCAUCACGGCGCCAAAAACAUUCAUAUUUAGUCCCAGUGGGCUAUUUAUUUUUAAAUUCUUUAUUAUUCUGGGUUAACUAAUGAUAUCUUACCGUGAAAUAAUACCUAUCGAUCUUUAAAUUCUUUUUCACUUUAACCGGUGUAAAAAACAUUUUUUGUGCAUUGCUUUAUUAUAUUUAAAUGUUUAUAUAUUUUUGUAAAAGAACAAAAGGUAUUAAACGAUUUAUACUGUAUUAUGGCAGCACCUUUUUGCCACUAAAUUUCAAUAUCGUGAAAAUACUGUAUAUUCCCAGGUAAAAAACAAGCAGACUUAAUGUAAUUAAAGUGUUCUAUUUUUGCGCACAAUUUUGAAAUUUAUAUACUAAAUAUGAUUCUUUAGUACUUUUUAA